UAAUGCCGGAUGCUCCAGUUGAUCGCAUGGUCUUCUGGGAAAGCUUUCGCGGUAUGGGAUGGGGUCGCGUCCUAUCAGCUUGACGGCGGGGUAACGGCCCACCGUGGCUUCGACGGGUAGCCGGCCUGAGAGGGCGACCGGCCACAUUGGGACUGAGAUACGGCCCAGACUCCUACGGGAGGCAGCAGUGGGGAAUAUUGCACAAUGGGCGCAAGCCUGAUGCAGCGACGCCGCGUGAGGGAUGGAGGCCUUCGGGUUGUAAACCUCUUUUAUCGGGGAGCAAGCGAGAGUGAGUUUACCCGUUGAAUAAGCACCGGCUAACUACGUGCCAGCAGCCGCGGUAAUACGUAGGGUGCAAGCGUUAUCCGGAAUUAUUGGGCGUAAAGGGCUCGUAGGCGGUUCGUCGCGUCCGGUGUGAAAGUCCAUCGCUUAACGGUGGAUCCGCGCCGGGUACGGGCGGGCUUGAGUGCGGUAGGGGAGACUGGAAUUCCCGGUGUAACGGUGGAAUGUGUAGAUAUCG
Molecule: ribosomal RNA, 520 nt
Filed under: Bifidobacterium longum subsp. infantis
Lineage: Bacteria; Bacillati; Actinomycetota; Actinomycetes; Bifidobacteriales; Bifidobacteriaceae
Also listed under: 1 other name
Description: bacterial SSU rRNA
Rfam family: Bacterial small subunit ribosomal RNA
Source: RNAcentral